GCAAGUCAAGGGGAAAAUUUCGGCUUGCCGAAAUGAUUACACUGGCGAACGGGUGAGUAUCGCGUAGGCAACCUGCCCUUGUGAAUGGGAUAACCCCGGGAAACCGGGGCUAAUACCGUAUAACAUCUUUUUAACACCUGUUGGAAAGAUCAAAGAUGCUUUUGUAUCGCGCAAGGAUGGGCCUGCGUUCCAUUAGCUUGUUGGUAAGGUAACGGCUUACCAAGGCCACGAUGGAUAGCUGAUCUGAGAGGGUGAUC
This 257-nucleotide ribosomal RNA is filed under the name uncultured bacterium. Its description in RNAcentral is "partial 16S ribosomal RNA". It matches the Rfam family "Bacterial small subunit ribosomal RNA", at positions 57 to 305 of the family's 1533-position model. The record is from RNAcentral.